UCAACUUUUUAAGCUACACCAAACAAUCACUUCAUUUCUUUACAAUUUAAUUGAUGCUUUUUUACCUUCUCUGCCCCUUUGUACACAUCUGCAUCAGUUUUAAGAUAUAAAAUAGAGGAAAACAGGGUUAUAUUUGUUUCAGAUGAGGAUGUAUUAUGAUUGAAUUGUGAAGAUUAAUAGUUUUCCAGUGUGGAGAGGGGUAGAUUGCAGUGGACAAUACUAAGCGAGAUAGAGCAGUAAAAAUUUUGUUAUUAUAUUAUCUAGUCUUGUCGUGUAUUGUGUAACAAACAUGAGUUAGAUAAAUAAAUGUUUGGAUUGGC
Molecule: long non-coding RNA, 320 nt
Filed under: Olea europaea (common olive)
Lineage: Eukaryota; Viridiplantae; Streptophyta; Magnoliopsida; Lamiales; Oleaceae
Description: long non-coding RNA (OEUR_LNC014766)
Source: RNAcentral